UACGAAGGGUGCAAGCGUUACUCGGAAUUAUUGGGCGUAAAGCGUGCGUAGGUGGUUUGUUAAGUCUGAUGUGAAAGCCCUGGGCUCGACCUGGGAACGGCAUUGGAAACUGGCUUACUAGAGUGCGGUAGAGGGGUGUGGAAUUCCCGGUGUAGCAGUGAAAUGCGUAGAUAUCGGGAGGAACAUCUGUGGCGAAGGCGACACCCUGGACCAGCACUGACACUGAGGCACGAAAGCGUGGGGAGCAAACAGG
This 253-nucleotide ribosomal RNA is filed under the name uncultured bacterium. Its description in RNAcentral is "partial 16S ribosomal RNA". It matches the Rfam family "Bacterial small subunit ribosomal RNA", at positions 524 to 776 of the family's 1533-position model. The record is from RNAcentral.